This 207-nucleotide ribosomal RNA is filed under the name uncultured bacterium. RNAcentral's name for it is "partial 16S ribosomal RNA". It matches the Rfam family "Bacterial small subunit ribosomal RNA", at positions 568 to 774 of the family's 1533-position model. The record is from RNAcentral.
CACGCAGGCGGUUCCGUUAGUCGGACGUGAAAGCUCCUGGCUUAACUGGGAGAGGCCGUUCGAUACUGCGGGACUUGAGGUUGGAAGAGGGGUGUGGAACUCCCGGUGUAGUGGUGGAAUGCGUAGAUAUCGGGAGGAACACCUGUGGCGAAAGCGGCACCCUGGUCCACACCUGACGUUGAGGUGCGAAAGCCAGGGGAUCAAACG